UUUUUUGUUAUCUUUUAUAUAACUCAAAACUUUAAUAUAAUGCUUAUGAGAUUUUUUUAAAACUUUUGUUUUUUCAGACGAGGUUCGCGUACUCCUAAGACUAGUUGAAGAAAUAACCUAGUACUGAGCAUCUGCAAUUAUUCUUGCCAUCCAGGGAAUGGAAGAAAAAAAAGAUGCAAGACGCACAUUCCAGCUCCGUCUAGUACCACUUAAGUUCUCAUUCAGUCACAUCAAAAUAGUAAACAGUUUUAAUAUUCAGAAGAAGAGAAAAGACAAAUACUGUUAACUACAUCCGUUUGAAAUCUCCUAUAUCGCAAAGUUACAGAACUCGACGAACAUUGGGUGCAUACAGCAUGAAGAUUAGAUCAUCUGACCAGCUCAACAUAAUAGAAACCGCCUUAGCCCAGUGAUACUUGUAACACCACCAUUCACGCAUGCAGGAGAAGAUAUGACUAGUUGACCUUUACAGUAAGCCCU
This 477-nucleotide long non-coding RNA is filed under the name Nicotiana tabacum (common tobacco). Its description in RNAcentral is "long non-coding RNA (NTAB_LNC007048)". Lineage: Eukaryota; Viridiplantae; Streptophyta; Magnoliopsida; Solanales; Solanaceae. The record is from RNAcentral.